Molecule: ribosomal RNA, 253 nt
Filed under: uncultured bacterium
Lineage: Bacteria
Description: partial 16S ribosomal RNA
Rfam family: Bacterial small subunit ribosomal RNA
Source: RNAcentral
UACAGAGGUCCCAAGCGUUGUUCGGAUUCACUGGGCGUAAAGGGUGCGUAGGUGGUGAACUAAGUCGGGUGUGAAAUCUCCGGGCUCAACCCGGAGCGUGCGCCCGAAACUGGUUUGCUAGAGGAUGGGAGGGGAGACUGGAAUUCUCGGUGUAGCAGUGAAAUGCGUAGAUAUCGAGAGGAACACCGGUGGCGAAGGCGAGUCUCUGGACCAUUCCUGACACUGAGGCACGAAAGCCGGGGGAGCAAACAGG